AGUUAAGUGAAGAAGGAGGACAGAAAAAGAAAUUCUGCGUUCAGUAUGAUUGUGCUUAUAGGGAGAAUGUCAUAGGCACAUAGACUUAAAGAUUCCCACAUUGUUAGAGAGAGCAGAGCAGGCCUGGGGGUGUUGGUCUGGGUCCAGGGACGUGAACUUCGCCACCCAGCUCAUACCUCCUCGACGGUUAGAGAAUUGGCAGAAGAAACCCAGAGCCGUCCCCGGCGUCCCUGGGGGGACCGGAUUGGGCUCCCCAACUUCUGAAUUGAUAAAGACGAUCCCAGAACUGUAGGAUCGUGGACCCUCGGAGACAGGCAAGACAUUUAUCUGUCCCUCUCUUCAUCCACUGCUGUCUGCAGAACGCUUGUCGGGCAGGAAUCCAUGUUGCCUGUUUGAUUGCUUCUGGGGAUGGAGCGCUCACUUCCACUCCGCGUGGAAGUUCAUCCGUCAUCGGAUAAGCAGAUAACGCCUCGACAGACAGACGCGUCUCCAACCCUGUGACAACUGACACCCCCCGUGGUUACGGAGGAAAGUCACUCUUUACCUGUGAGUUUCCGGGCAGUAAGGUAGCGCGUUAGUCUCUUACUCCAAGAAGAUAAAACCCAGGGUCUGAAGACCAGGCUGGUGGCCAAGCUUUCGGGUUAACUUCCUGUGUGGACUUCGGCGAGAUGCUCCUCUUCUGAUCCUUGCUUUGCACAUCUGUAAAAGAGAGCUACAACUUGUGUGCCACAGACCCAGCCGAUAUGUGGUGGGGCUACGGGAGGAAUCGCUCUAAAGCCAUUUCUCGUAGGUAGAUUUUCAGUUUUCUGAGCUUCCCUUACCCACGCCACGCCAGGCGCUCAGUUUUCUCAUCUGUAGAAUGUUGCCAGUUGGACAAAACGCGUUGCCUCCCUCUGGCUCUCAAAUUCUGAGCCUCUGGUUUCCAUGCCUAUGAAAACGGAUGCGGGACCCUCGCCUCGCCCAGCCCCACCCCUCCGCCUACCCCCGCAGAGAUUCCUGUCCUUGUGCAGCCACCUCCCCUGCCCCCCUCUGUCCCCAUCAGGCCAGUGACUCGCUCACCCCCCAGGGCUCCCAGAGAUGACUCCCAGCAGUAGGCUUUCUCCUCCCGGCUCUUAAGGUGGCCACACACUGGGCUAAAAAAGCUGCUUACCAGCACGGGAAAGGAUGACAUUUAGAGUAUCACAUCUUUUUUUUUUUUUUUUUAAGACUUGCUUUAAAGGGAAGCUGAUAUGGGAAUGUGUUCAGAAGAUGUCCCUCCGAUUUGGUGCUUGGGGCUCCGUGAAGGUGGGGGCGCAGGAAGAGAAGUUCUUCUGUGUUCCCUCGGGUGCUUCCUAAGGGGCUGAAAGAUCAGUGCUGUCGUUCUCGCUUCCCGAGCCCCUUGGAAGUUAUUUGGUUCCACCGGGAGCUGGCCACAUCCACGGUGGCAAGGCUCUACAGCACCGGACGUGAAGUUAAGUUUGAUUGGCUGUGUGACCUUGGGGGAAUCAUCUCACUUCUCAGAGCUUUGGUUUCCUCCUCUGUAGGGUAUUCGCAUAAUACCUGCGCUCACUCAGCCACUCGGUAACAACGGCCAGAGCCAGUGUCUCUGAAUGCGUCCUAUAUACUAGGCACUGUCUAAGAAGAUUGCCAUGCACCCUUCUCACUUAAUCCUCAUAAUAGUCCAUGCAUUGAAAUGCUGUCCUUCUUGCUAUUUUGCAGACGAGACAAAUACAGCUCAGAGGAGUGAAAUAACUUGCCGGGUCUGGAGGAUGACACCCCCUAGAAUUCAAACCCAGUCCUAUGUGACUCCAAAGUCUGUGCCCUUAGCCUUCUGCUAUGCAGCUGGGCUGGACUAUGUAGAUGGCGCUCCGGUUACCUACCUGUCGAUAGGUACCACGCCACCCCAAAACUUAGUAACGUAGAACAACCGCCGUAGUAUUAUGCUUGUGGGUUCUGUGGGGAAGGAAGGUUGGGCAGGACACAGUACGGAUGCUUUGUCUCUGCUUUACAAUGUCUGGAGCCUCAGCUGGGAAGUUUCAAGAAGUCUCAAAGCUUGUCUGGCCCCUGGGUUGGGGUGGCUCAAAGACCAGGCUCAUAUCGAAACUGCUAACCAGAAUGCCCACAUUCAACUCUCCAUGCAGACUGGGCACCCUCACAGCGGGGUGACCUCCAGGCAUUUGGAUUGCUUACAUUUUUGGCACAGGGGCUCCAAGAACGAAUGUUCUUGUAAAACAUUGGAAGCCCGGUGGCCCUUCAUGAUCUAGUCUUAAGAAUCACGUGGCAACACUUCUUCCUAUGAUGGGGUCAAAGCAGUCAUAAGCUACUCAGAUUCAGCAGGUGGGCACAUAGGUCCACCUCUCAGUGGACUGAGCUGUGAAGAUUUCUGCAGCCAUGCUCUAAAACCACCAUUAUGGGAUCAGCCGUGAUCUCUGCUGGGGCAUCCGGUUAGACUGAUA
This is a long non-coding RNA of Acinonyx jubatus (cheetah), 2435 nucleotides long. RefSeq lists it as uncharacterized. The transcript has 3 exons. NCBI's taxonomy places the organism in Eukaryota, Metazoa, Chordata, Mammalia, Carnivora, Felidae. The record is from RefSeq and is a predicted model, not a curated record.